UAUUACAUUACUCGAGUCUUAAAUAAGACCAGUUACUCACUGUAGCUAAGCAGGGCUGAGCCUGGUUAGUACCUGGAUGGGAGACCACAUGGGAAAACUAGGUUGCUGAAAUGG
Danio rerio (zebrafish) is the source of this 114-nucleotide non-coding RNA. Lineage: Eukaryota; Metazoa; Chordata; Actinopteri; Cypriniformes; Danionidae. The record is from Rfam.